RNAcentral lists this non-coding RNA (29 nucleotides) under Homo sapiens (human). Lineage: Eukaryota; Metazoa; Chordata; Mammalia; Primates; Hominidae. The record is from RNAcentral.
UGGCAUUCCUAUCAUGGGUUGCAGGUGUU